AGCUUAAAGAAUUUACUAUUUUAGGUGUUUUCUGCCCAGUGCAUUUCUGUUAACGGCCGCGGUAUCCUGACCGUGCAAAGGUAGCAUAAUCAUUUGCCUUUUAAUUGGAGGCUAGUAUGAAUGAAUAAACGUAGGUACCCCUGUUUCUUGUAAUGUAUUAAAAAUUAUUCCUCAGGUGAAGAAACCUGAAUUUUUUAAAAAGACAAGAAGACCCUAUCAAGCUUUAUAUUUUAAGUAUUCAAAAAUACAAAAAUAUUUGGUUGGGGCGACUAAUGGGGUGCACUACACCCCCAUAAUAUUUUUGAAUUAUCCUUCUUACUUAUUAAUAAUUUAAAUUAAGAAAGCUACUGUAGGGAUAACAGGCUAAUAUUUUCCUAGAGUUCAAAUUAAAGAAAAUGUUUGGCACCUCGAUGUUGGCUUAGGGUACCUGUCCCCCGCAGAAGGGGGGCAAGGUAGUUUGUUCAACUAUUAAAUCCCU
Molecule: ribosomal RNA, 478 nt
Filed under: Epigamia magna
Lineage: Eukaryota; Metazoa; Annelida; Polychaeta; Phyllodocida; Syllidae
Description: partial 16S ribosomal RNA
Rfam family: Bacterial large subunit ribosomal RNA
Source: RNAcentral